Molecule: ribosomal RNA, 253 nt
Filed under: uncultured bacterium
Lineage: Bacteria
Description: partial 16S ribosomal RNA
Rfam family: Bacterial small subunit ribosomal RNA
Source: RNAcentral
UACAGAGGUCUCAAGCGUUGUUCGGAUUCAUUGGGCGUAAAGGGUGCGUAGGUGGCGCGCUAAGUCAGGUGUGAAAUUUCGGAGCUUAACUCCGAAACUGCAUUUUAUACUGGCGUGCUUGAGGACUGGAGAGGAGACUGGAAUUCACGGUGUAGCAGUGAAAUGCGUAGAUAUCGUGAGGAAGACCAGUGGCGAAGGCGGGUCUCUGGACAGUUCCUGACACUGAGGCACGAAGGCCAGGGGAGCAAACGGG